This is a non-coding RNA of Caenorhabditis elegans, 139 nucleotides long. Lineage: Eukaryota; Metazoa; Nematoda; Chromadorea; Rhabditida; Rhabditidae. The record is from Ensembl.
UUUGAUUCUUAAAAAUAAAUUUAAAUUACAACUACCAACAAAGAUUCUAAGACGGUCAAGAGGGUAGCAGUAGGGGCAUACCAUCUUGUAUUUACAUAACUAUAGAAACACAUGGAGAAACUGAACCACCGGCUGGAGG